GAAUUGUGGCUCAGUGGUAAAGCACUUGUCUCACAUGUGUGAGGCACUGAGUUUGAUUCUCAGCAACA
This 68-nucleotide transfer RNA is filed under the name Marmota monax (woodchuck). RNAcentral's name for it is "tRNA.Val". It matches the Rfam family "tRNA", at positions 5 to 66 of the family's 71-position model. Rfam says of the family: Transfer RNA (tRNA) molecules are approximately 80 nucleotides in length. The record is from RNAcentral. Lineage: Eukaryota; Metazoa; Chordata; Mammalia; Rodentia; Sciuridae.